GUGAGGAAUAUUGGACAAUGGAUGGAAAUCUGAUCCAGCCAUGCCGCGUGCAGGAAGACGGCCCUAUGGGUUGUAAACUGCUUUUAUACGGGAGCAAUAAGGUCUAUACAUAGAUUGAUGAGAGUACCGUAUGAAUAAGCAUCGGCUAACUCCGUGCCAGCAGCCGCGGUAAUACGGAGGAUGCGAGCGUUAUCCGGAUUUAUUGGGUUUAAAGGGUGCGUAGGCGGCUUUGUAAGUCAGCGGUGAAAUUUUGCAGCUUAACUGUAAAAGCGCCGUUGAUACUGUGAAGCUAGGAUUUGGUUGCUGUGGGCGGAAUGUGUGGUGUAGCGGUGAAAUGCAUAGAGAUCACACAGAAUAUCGAUUGCGAAGGCAGCUCACAAAGCCAAUAUUGACGCUGAGGCACGAAAGUGUGGGGAUCAAACAGGAUUAGAUACCCCGGUAGUCC
This 445-nucleotide ribosomal RNA is filed under the name uncultured bacterium. RNAcentral describes it as "partial 16S ribosomal RNA". It matches the Rfam family "Bacterial small subunit ribosomal RNA", at positions 354 to 796 of the family's 1533-position model. The record is from RNAcentral.